This 86-nucleotide microRNA precursor is filed under the name Drosophila busckii. Its description in RNAcentral is "mir-981 microRNA precursor family". It matches the Rfam family "mir-981 microRNA precursor family". Lineage: Eukaryota; Metazoa; Arthropoda; Insecta; Diptera; Drosophilidae. The record is from Rfam by way of RNAcentral.
CCGCAUUGAACACGGGUUUCGUCAGCAGCGGGCUGUAACUAACUUUUAACCAAGUUCGUUGUCGACGAAACCUGCAUACUGUGUGG